GACGAACGCUGGCGGCGCGCUUAACACAUGCAAGUCGAACGGAAAGACCUGCUUUCCCUUGUGGAUUGCGGGUACUCGAGUGGCGAACGGGUGAGUAACACGUGAGUGAUCUGCCCCCAACUUGGGUAUAAGCCUGGGAAACUGGGUCUAAUUCCCGAUAGGACUGCAGGGUGGUGCCUGUGGUGGAAAACGAUUUUCUAGUGGUUGGGGAUGAGCUCGCGGCCUAUCAGCUUGUUGGUGGGGUAAUGGCCUACCAAGGCGGCGACGGGUAGCCGGCCUGAGAGGGUGGACGGCCACAUUGGGACUGAGAUACGGCCCAGACUCCUACGGGAGGCAGCAGUGGGGAAUAUUGCACAAUGGGCGGAAGCCUGAUGCAGCGACGCCGCGUGGGGGAUGACGGCCUUCGGGUUGUAAACUCCUUUCGACCGCGAGGAAGCCACCUGGUUGGAAGGGUGGUGACGGUAGUGGUAGAAGAAGCACCGGCUAACUACGUG
Molecule: ribosomal RNA, 494 nt
Filed under: uncultured bacterium
Lineage: Bacteria
Description: partial 16S ribosomal RNA
Rfam family: Bacterial small subunit ribosomal RNA
Source: RNAcentral